Molecule: ribosomal RNA, 253 nt
Filed under: uncultured bacterium
Lineage: Bacteria
Description: partial 16S ribosomal RNA
Rfam family: Bacterial small subunit ribosomal RNA
Source: RNAcentral
UACGUAGGGUGCAAGCGUUAAUCGGAAUUACUGGGCGUAAAGGGUGCGCAGGCGGAUAUUCAAGUUAGAUGUGAAAUCCCCGGGCUUAACCUGGGAAUGGCAUUUAAGACUGAAUGUCUAGAGUUAUGUAGAGGCGGGUAGAAUUCCAAGUGUAGCAGUGAAAUGCGUAGAGAUUUGGAGGAACACCGAUGGCGAAGGCAGCCCCCUGGGUCAAGAUUGACGCUCAUGCACGAAAGCGUGGGGAGCAAACAGG